GAUGAUGGUGGAGUGCUCCUUAUCCCUCAAAUCGAAAAUUCUCACCGACCCAUCUGCAGAAACCGAAGCAAAAACCCUUGCUUCUCCCCAAGCAAUGUCGUGAACCUCCUUAUCAUGGGCAAUUAGCUGGGUUUCAACAGCACCCCUUUCAAUAUCCCAAAUAGUACAUGUCGUAUCAAUGCUGCAAGUCCCAAUUCUCUUGGGCUCGAUCUCGUUCCAAUCAAAAGACGUCAACGGAGCAAAAAAUUCGCUGGUCUUGCUAUUAUUAAGGACGGAGAUGGGUUCAACGGAGCUUUCACGGACUUCCCAGAGGCGAAGAAAGUCGCCGGAGGAGGCGAGGAGGUCGGAGGACUUGCGGAGAGAGGAAGGAGCGGCUGGAUGGAACAUGAGCUUGGUGGGUGGGUAGGGGUGGUCGAGGGAAAGAGUAGGAUGAGUCUUGAAGGAGAGGGUCUCGAGGUCGAAGGAAAGAAUGUCGACACGGUUGCUGUAUUCUUCAAUGAAGCUGCCGACGGCGAUGCGUUGGUGGUGGUUGUGGUUGGGCGAAGGGGAGGAGGAGAAAGCCAUGGCGUAAAGAGGGUAUGGGGAUUCAUAGGUGAUAGAAUUAUCGGAUCGGAGGUGCGAUUCUUGGUUAGAGUUUUCCAUAUUUUCUCGAGACAAAAGUGAAUGGAAAUGAAUUUUCUGGGGAGUGUUUGGUUUUGAAGGGAAACUAACGGAAAGUCAAUGUCUGAAGGAGGGAAAAUUCAGCUCUACUUUCCAGUUUGUUGGAUUUUAACGCGAGACUACCUACAUUAAACUACUCGGCGGUCAAGGGCGACUGC
Molecule: unclassified non-coding RNA, 818 nt
Filed under: Hevea brasiliensis (rubber tree)
Lineage: Eukaryota; Viridiplantae; Streptophyta; Magnoliopsida; Malpighiales; Euphorbiaceae
Source: RNAcentral